Molecule: non-coding RNA, 21 nt
Filed under: Rattus norvegicus (Norway rat)
Lineage: Eukaryota; Metazoa; Chordata; Mammalia; Rodentia; Muridae
Source: RNAcentral
UGUGAAGAACUAAGAAGCCAA